UGGGGGAUAUUGCACAAUGGGCGAAAGCCUGAUGCAGCGACGCCGCGUGGGGGAUGAAGGCCUUCGGGUUGUAAACUUCUUUUGCUCUGAACAAGGCGCACCAUGGGGUGUGUUGAGUGUAGGGGUUGAUUAGCGCCGGCUAACUACGUGCCAGCAGCCGCGGUAAUACGUAGGGCGCGAGCGUUGUCCGGAAUUAUUGGGCGUAAAGGGCUUGUAGGUGGCUGGUUGCGUCUGUCGUGAAAGCUCAUGGCUUAACUGUGGGUUUGCGGUGGGUACGGGCUGGCUUGAGUGCAGUAGGGGAGGCUGGAAUUCCUGGUGUAGCGGUGGAAUGCGCAGAUAUCAGGAGGAAUACCGGCGGCGAAGGCGGGUCUCUGGGCUGUUACUGACACUGAGGAGCGAAAGCAUGGGGAGCGAACAGG
Molecule: ribosomal RNA, 419 nt
Filed under: bacterium
Lineage: Bacteria
Description: partial 16S ribosomal RNA
Rfam family: Bacterial small subunit ribosomal RNA
Source: RNAcentral